ACUAUUUUGGCAGAUUAGUGCACUAAAUUUAGAAUUUAGUAAAGUAAUAUUUAUUACAUAUAGUA
Molecule: transfer RNA, 65 nt
Filed under: Hippotiscus dorsalis
Lineage: Eukaryota; Metazoa; Arthropoda; Insecta; Hemiptera; Pentatomidae
Description: tRNA-Leu
Source: RNAcentral